Pelobates cultripes (western spadefoot toad) is the source of this 462-nucleotide non-coding RNA. NCBI's taxonomy places the organism in Eukaryota, Metazoa, Chordata, Amphibia, Anura, Pelobatidae. The record is from the annotation of a GenBank genome assembly.
UGGGUGUCCUCACGCCCCUCGGGCUUCAAAGUAAACAAAAGAGCAAAUUUAUUUUAAGGAGACGUGCAUUUGCAUAUAACCAAUGUUUCAAUUCAACUACCUUGACAUAUUACGAAGAGUGUGGUAAUGGGACUGAAAUGGUGAAGACAUGCGGUUACACAGCUGUAAAAUACAAAUGACGUUAUCUUGUUAAUUUUGGAGUUCUAGGAGUGUGUUCUUCACUUUGGAGGAGAUCAUCAAACUUGAUGAUCUCAGCCAAUCCAAUGCUUUCCCGUAGGAAAGCAUUGGGGGGCUAGUGUGCAUGUGUGGCAAAAAGCUGCGCGACCAAACAGCAUCUCCAUGGGGAGCAUUCUGCGCCUCCAUGCAGAACCAUUCUAAUACAAUGCUCCCUCCCCCCAUUCUAAUACAGUGCCCACAAAUCCAAUACAUUGCCCCCCCUCGCUCCACUGCUAUAUACUGCCC